Molecule: small RNA, 19 nt
Filed under: Arabidopsis thaliana (thale cress)
Lineage: Eukaryota; Viridiplantae; Streptophyta; Magnoliopsida; Brassicales; Brassicaceae
Description: ATSL296800
Source: RNAcentral
AAAAAAACUGAAAAAAAAA